UGGGGAAUAUUGCACAAUGGGCGCAAGCCUGAUGCAGCCAUGCCGCGUGUAUGAAGAAGGCCUUCGGGUUGUAAAGUACUUUCAGCGGGGAGGAAGGGAGUAAAGUUAAUACCUUUGCUCAUUGACGUUACCCGCAGAAGAAGCACCGGCUAACUCCGUGCCAGCAGCCGCGGUAAUACGGAGGGUGCAAGCGUUAAUCGGAAUUACUGGGCGUAAAGCGCACGCAGGCGGUUUGUUAAGUCAGAUGUGAAAUCCCCGGGCUCAACCUGGGAACUGCAUCUGAUACUGGCAAGCUUGAGUCUCGUAGAGGGGGUAGAAUUCCAGGUGUAGCGGUGAAAUGCGUAGAGAUCUGGAGGAAUACCGGUGGCGAAGGCGGCCCCCUGGACGAAGACUGACGCUCAGGUGCGAAAGCGUGGGGAGCAAACAGG
RNAcentral lists this ribosomal RNA (428 nucleotides) under Chloroflexota bacterium. RNAcentral's name for it is "Chloroflexi bacterium partial 16S ribosomal RNA". It matches the Rfam family "Bacterial small subunit ribosomal RNA", at positions 355 to 776 of the family's 1533-position model. The record is from RNAcentral. Lineage: Bacteria; Bacillati; Chloroflexota.